ACGAGAAACUCUAUAGAGGUGCCCC
Molecule: ribosomal RNA, 25 nt
Filed under: Absidia cylindrospora
Lineage: Eukaryota; Fungi; Mucoromycota; Mucoromycetes; Mucorales; Cunninghamellaceae
Description: partial 28S ribosomal RNA
Source: RNAcentral